Molecule: long non-coding RNA, 1136 nt
Filed under: Carassius auratus (goldfish)
Lineage: Eukaryota; Metazoa; Chordata; Actinopteri; Cypriniformes; Cyprinidae
Description: lncRNA (ENSCARG00000006517.1)
Source: RNAcentral
GAAUGUUUGAUUUUGAACUUUAAUUAAAUAGAGACGUCUUGGAAUUCACAUCAGGGGUUGUGAUUCUUCUUUGUUAUAUGUUCGGCCUGUGUCCUUAGAAUUCACGAGCCUUGAAAUGGUAAUGGGCCGUAACAUAUUUGGGCGCUCGUCCAGGGAUUGAUCUGGAUUUUGUGUGACUUCGUGUGAUCUUUUUGAUCUGUUCACACUUGAAUUUGUUACUUUGUAACUUUGUUGAAUCACAGACUUUGAUGGGCAUUUUUUUUGGAUUGUGUAGUGCUUUAUUGUUUUUCUCUUUAACCUGAGACGUUUAUAAAUCAUGUUUGAAUUAACGAAUUUUAUUGCAAAUCCGACGCAAGCUGAGUUGUUCCAAAUUAAUAGGGUUGAUCUUAUGAAGAUUGCUGCACAUUAUAAGGUUGGUUUUCGUAAUACGCAGUCCAAACGGGAACUUCAGGUGUUGCUUGUGGAUUCGUUGCAUAAACAGGGCGACUUUGGUGAGGAGGAAAAGCUGGUUGAUUAUCCUGAAGCGGAUGAGGUUAGUUUAGAUCUUGCUUUACAAGUCAAAAAGUUGGAGUUGCAAGCUAAAGAGCACGAUAGAGAGUUGUUAAAAGAAAGGGAAGAAUGGGAGCGUGAGAAAGAGAGACGAAGAGAGCGUGAGAGGCAUGAACUUGAGUUGAAACGGCUUGAGAUGGAACAAGCUUGCCGCCUCAAGGAAAUCGAGCUGAAAGCUCGUGAAAGGGGUGCCGCGGAUGUUUCGGAUUUCGAUGUGGGUCGCAAUAUUCGUAUGGUUCCUCCUUUUCGAGAAAAAGAGGUAGACAAGUUUUUUGCUCUUUUUGAACGGGUUGCCAUCAAUCUUAAGUGGCCGAAAACAUUUUGGCCCAUGUUGUUGCAGUGUGUUCUUGUGGGGAAAGCCCAGGAAGCUUAUUCUUCUUUGUCCGUGGAGGAGUCUCUCGAUUAUGAGGAAGUAAAAGCUGCUGUUCUUCGAAUUUAUGAAUUGGUUCCGGAGGCUUAUCGCCAAAAGUUUCGUAAUCAUCGAAAAACUGAUGAGACCUACGUUGAAUUCGUUCGUGAGAAAGAGUCAAUGUUUGAUCGGUGGUGUGCUUCUAUGAAAGUAAAAACGUAUGAAGAGCUACGUGAAC